Molecule: ribosomal RNA, 370 nt
Filed under: uncultured organism
Description: partial 16S ribosomal RNA
Rfam family: Bacterial small subunit ribosomal RNA
Source: RNAcentral
GUACUGUGCAAACGUUAUUCGGAAUCACUGGGCUUAAAGGGUGCGUAGGCGGUGAUUUAAGUAGGGUGUGAAAUCCCCCGGCUCAACCGGGGAACUGCGCUCUAAACUGGGUCACUUGAGUAAGAUAGGGGUGUGUGGAACUUCCGGUGGAGCGGUGAAAUGUGUUGAUAUCAGAAGGAACGCCAGUAGCGAAAGCGGCACACUGGGUCUUAACUGACGCUGAGGCACGAAAGCCAGGGUAGCGAACGGGAUUAGAUACCCCGGGUAGUCCUGGCUGUAAACGAUGAGCACUAGUUGGGAGGCGCUUACGCAUUUUCCAACGUAGCAAAAGUAUUAAGUGCUCCGCCUGGGGAGUAUGGUCGCAAGGCUG